Molecule: ribosomal RNA, 1438 nt
Filed under: uncultured Ralstonia sp.
Lineage: Bacteria; Pseudomonadati; Pseudomonadota; Betaproteobacteria; Burkholderiales; Burkholderiaceae
Description: 16S ribosomal RNA
Rfam family: Bacterial small subunit ribosomal RNA
Source: RNAcentral
UGGCUCAGAUUGAACGCUGGCGGCAUGCCUUACACAUGCAAGUCGAACGGCAGCAUGAUCUAGCUUGCUAGAUUGAUGGCGAGUGGCGAACGGGUGAGUAAUACAUCGGAACGUGCCCUGUAGUGGGGGAUAACUAGUCGAAAGAUUAGCUAAUACCGCAUACGACCUGAGGGUGAAAGUGGGGGACCGCAAGGCCUCAUGCUAUAGGAGCGGCCGAUGUCUGAUUAGCUAGUUGGUGAGGUAAAGGCUCACCAAGGCGACGAUCAGUAGCUGGUCUGAGAGGACGAUCAGCCACACUGGGACUGAGACACGGCCCAGACUCCUACGGGAGGCAGCAGUGGGGAAUUUUGGACAAUGGGGGCAACCCUGAUCCAGCAAUGCCGCGUGUGUGAAGAAGGCCUUCGGGUUGUAAAGCACUUUUGUCCGGAAAGAAAUCGCACUUACUAAUAUUAGGUGUGGAUGACGGUACCGGAAGAAUAAGGACCGGCUAACUACGUGCCAGCAGCCGCGGUAAUACGUAGGGUCCAAGCGUUAAUCGGAAUUACUGGGCGUAAAGCGUGCGCAGGCGGUUGUGCAAGACCGAUGUGAAAUCCCCGGGCUUAACCUGGGAAUUGCAUUGGUGACUGCACGGCUAGAGUGUGUCAGAGGGGGGUAGAAUUCCACGUGUAGCAGUGAAAUGCGUAGAGAUGUGGAGGAAUANCGAUGGCGAAGNCAGCCCCCUGNGAUNACACUGACGCUCAUGCACGAAAGCGUUGGGAGCAAACAGGAUUAGAUACCCUGGUAGUCCACGCCCUAAACGAUGUCAACUAGUUGUUGGGGAUUCAUUUCCUUAGUAACGUAGCUAACGCGUGAAGUUGACCGCCUGGGGAGUACGGUCGCAAGAUUAAAACUCAAAGGAAUUGCCGGGGACCCGCACAAGCGGUGGAUGAUGUGGAUUAAUUCGAUGCAACGCGAAAAACCUUACCUACCCUUGACAUGCCACUAACGAAGCAGAGAUGCAUUAGGUGCUCGAAAGAGAAAGUGGACACAGGUGCUGCAUGGCUGUCGUCAGCUCGUGUCGUGAGAUGUUGGGUUAAGUCCCGCAACGAGCGCAACCCUUGUCUCUAGUUGCUACGAAAGGGCACUCUAGAGAGACUGCCGGUGACAAACCGGAGGAAGGUGGGGAUGACGUCAAGUCCUCAUGGCCCUUAUGGGUAGGGCUUCACACGUCAUACAAUGGUGCAUACAGAGGGUUGCCAAGCCGCGAGGUGGAGCUAAUCCCAGAAAAUGCAUCGUAGUCCGGAUCGUAGUCUGCAACUCGACUACGUGAAGCUGGAAUCGCUAGUAAUCGCGGAUCAGCAUGCCGCGGUGAAUACGUUCCCGGGUCUUGUACACACCGCCCGUCACACCAUGGGAGUGGGUUUUGCCAGAAGUAGUUAGCCUAACCGCAAGGGGGGCG